RNAcentral lists this ribosomal RNA (300 nucleotides) under Pseudomonas sp. It matches the Rfam family "Bacterial small subunit ribosomal RNA", at positions 195 to 476 of the family's 1533-position model. The record is from RNAcentral. Lineage: Bacteria; Pseudomonadati; Pseudomonadota; Gammaproteobacteria; Pseudomonadales; Pseudomonadaceae.
UACGGGAGAAAGCAGGGGACCUUCGGGCCUUGCGCUAUCAGAUGAGCCUAGGUCGGAUUAGCUAGUUGGUGAGUUAAUGGCUCACCAAGGCUACGAUCCGUAACUGGUCUGAGAGGAUAAUCAGUCACACUGGAACUGAGACACGGUCCAGACUCCUACGGGAGGCAGCAGUGGGGAAUAUUGGACAAUGGGCGAAAGCCUGAUCCAGCCAUGCCGCGUGUGUGAAGAAGGUCUUCGGAUUGUAAAGCACUUUAAGUUGGGAGGAAGGGCAGUAAGUUAAUACUUUGCUGUUUUGACGUU